RNAcentral lists this ribosomal RNA (264 nucleotides) under uncultured Spirochaeta sp. RNAcentral describes it as "partial 16S ribosomal RNA". It matches the Rfam family "Bacterial small subunit ribosomal RNA", at positions 1117 to 1382 of the family's 1533-position model. Lineage: Bacteria; Pseudomonadati; Spirochaetota; Spirochaetia; Spirochaetales; Spirochaetaceae. The record is from RNAcentral.
ACCACCGAGAAGGUGGGGACUCAGGCGGGACCGCCGGUGACAAACCGGAGGAAGGUGGGGACGACGUCAAGUCAUCAUGGCCCUUAUGUCCUGGGCUACACACGUGCUACAAUGGCCGGUACAGAGCGCAGCGAGGCCGCGAGGCGGAGCGAAUCGCUUAAAGCCGGUCCCAGUACGGAUUGGAGUCUGCAACCCGACUCCAUGAAGUUGGAAUCGCUAGUAAUCGCGCAUCAGCAUGGCGCGGUGAAUACGUUCCCGGGCCUU